CAUCCGGUCGAUCCUGCCUCAUCCGGUCGAUCCUGCCGGAGCGCGACGCUCUCCCCAAGGACGAAGCCAUGCAUGCCCGCUCACCCGGGACGCGGCGGACGGCUCAGGACGACGGUUGCACCCCCCGCGGCGGUCCCUGCUAGCCGGACACCGCUGGCAACCCGGCGCCAAGACGUGCGCGCAAGGGCGGGCGCCCGCGGGCGAGCAGCGUGACGCAGCGACGGCCCGCCCGGGCUUCCGGGGCAUCACCCGGUCGGCGCGUCGCGCGCGCCAGCCCCAA
RNAcentral lists this ribosomal RNA (280 nucleotides) under Giardia duodenalis. RNAcentral's name for it is "Giardia intestinalis partial small subunit ribosomal RNA". The record is from RNAcentral. Lineage: Eukaryota; Fornicata; Diplomonadida; Hexamitidae.